This 81-nucleotide ribosomal RNA is filed under the name Peribacillus simplex. The record is from RNAcentral. RNAcentral also lists the same sequence under 2 other names. Lineage: Bacteria; Bacillati; Bacillota; Bacilli; Caryophanales; Bacillaceae.
CAUUCCGAACACGGCAGUUAAGCUCUUCAGCGCCGAUGGUAGUUGGGGGUUUCCCCCUGUGAGAGUAGGACGCCGCCAAGC